Molecule: ribosomal RNA, 301 nt
Filed under: uncultured bacterium
Lineage: Bacteria
Description: partial 16S ribosomal RNA
Rfam family: Bacterial small subunit ribosomal RNA
Source: RNAcentral
CAGUAGCCGCGGGAAUACGAACCGUGCGUACGUUAUUCGGAAUUACUGGGCUUAAAGCGCGUGUAGGCGGGCCGCCACGUCGGUUGCUGAAAUCCCCCGGCUCAACCGGGGAAGUGGCAUCGAUACGAGCGGCCUUGAGGGGGGUAGGGGGAUCUGGAACUUCCGGUGGAGCGGUGAAAUGCGUUGAGAUCGGAAGGAACGCCCGUGGCGAAAGCGAGGUCCUGGACCCUUUCUGACGCUGAGACGCGAAAGCCAGGGGAGCGAACGGGAUUAGAUACCCGCGUAGUCCCUGUCUCUUAUA